This is a long non-coding RNA of Zonotrichia leucophrys gambelii, 622 nucleotides long. RefSeq lists it as uncharacterized. Lineage: Eukaryota; Metazoa; Chordata; Aves; Passeriformes; Passerellidae. The record is from RefSeq and is a predicted model, not a curated record. The transcript is spliced from 3 exons.
GGGAGCGCCGGGCCCGUGAGGGGGAAGGCGGAGGGAGCGGGAGAGAGAUGCUGCAGCCAGAGCUGGGACCUUCCCAUUCCUCAGACACCUCUGGUGGCUCUUCAAGAUCGUGCUGAGCUUCAAGGACCUGCCCGGACCUGACCCCAGAGCACCAAAAUGCACAGCUGGACCCCAAAAUGCACAGCUGGACCCCAAAACUGCACAGCUGGACCCCAAAAUGCACAGCUGGACCCCAAAAAUGAACAGCUGGACCCCAAAAUCCUAUAAAACACCCCAUAAAGCCUGAACCCCAAAACCUGGAGAUACCCGAAGUGCACCUGAACCCGAGGGGGUUUGGGACCCCCGUGUUUGGGGUUUUGGGGUGUCCCUGGGUGGUGACCCCCACUUUUGGGGUUCUCCCAGGGCUGUCACCCGCUUUUUUAGGGGGUUUGGGGUUCCCAGAGCUGUGACCCCCCAUUUUUGGGGUCUUGGGGUGUCCCUGGGUGGUGUUUGGGGUUUUCCCAGGGCUGUCACCCCCUGGUUUGGGGGUUUUGGGGUUCCCAGGGUGGUGACUCCGUUUUUGGGGUUUUUGGGUGUCCCAGGGCAGUGACUCCCCUCUUUUAACCCCCCCCCCCCAGAUGGA